Molecule: non-coding RNA, 2900 nt
Organism: Solanum lycopersicum (tomato)
Lineage: Eukaryota; Viridiplantae; Streptophyta; Magnoliopsida; Solanales; Solanaceae
Source: RefSeq, a predicted model, not a curated record
UAAAAAGUUAUUUUUACUUUAAAUUGCAAAACACAAAAUAAACCCAACUUUAGGAAACUUCCAAAUUAUCUCUCACUGUCACACUUCUCUCACUGUCACAAGCACCUCCGACGUCUAGCGGUACUUCUCCGUCGUCACCAUCGCACUCCUCCGGCGUCUCCUCACAGCUCUAUUAACUUCAGCUACUCACGAGAUUCAAAAUGGGAUAGGUGUUGUAAGCUACCGCAACAGCAAAAUCUAUCGGACUGUGGGCUUUUUUUACUACACUAUGUGGAGAGUUUUUUGGAGGAAGAUCCUGCUGGUAUCAACCCAUACAACAUAAAGAACUAUCACAACGAAUUUGUCUGACCUCCCUUUCAAUAUUUGCUUUAUCUUGAACUGGAGCUGGAACUGGAGAGCUGCUAGAUCUUGUUUGUUUAAGGAUAAAGAAAAUUGAGGUGAUAUUGUCUGCUAAUUUUGUUUUUUCGAUGGAUAAAUCUUGGAUUAGAAUGCCAAGGACCACAAAGGAAUAUCUGGUUGGUUUGAAUCAGUUUUUGGAAUUUGCUUUUAAAAAUGGAGCUAUAGAAGAUAGAAUAAAAUGCCUGUGUCCUCAAUGUUGUUUUGGAAAAUGGCAGACUAGAGAGGUAGUAUUUGAUCACUUGAUUUGCAAGCCAUUUCCUCAAAAUUUUGUCAUUUGGGUUAUGCAUGGGGAAACAAGUGUGUUACAAAAUUCUAAAAGAAGAGAGUUUACUCAGGAUACACUGCCUCCAAAAAAUCCUGUAGAAUUAUUGAUUAACGAAGCAUUUCAUGGCUUUAGGCAAGAGAGAUUUGAUGUAGGUCCAUCGCAAAUAGUGGCAGAAGAAGAGAUAUUAAAGGAUAUACCCACAUCAUAUGACAAAGACUUUUUUGAGUUGCUCAAAGAUGGAAGGGAAGAAUUGUAUGAAGGGUCUAAGUACUCAAAAUUAGAGUUUUUGUUAAAGUUAUAUCACAUAAAGUGUUUGUCUAGUCUAAGUGACAAAGGAAUGACUAUGAUAUUGGAUCUACUCAGGGAUGCCUUUGAAUUUGCAAAGAUCCCUGAUUCUUUUUAUGAGGCUAAGAAAACUAUCAACAAGUUAUGUCUUGAUUAUGUUAAGAUUGAUGCUUUUCCAAAUGAUUGCAUGUUGUAUUGGGGAGAUGAUGUUAAUGAGGAAACAUGCAAGCAUUGUCAUACUUCGAGAUGGAAGCUUGAUGAGAAGAAUACAAACAUUAAAGUGGUUGCUAGGGGUAAGAAGUAAAAAAAGAGACCUGCAAAAAUUUUGCGUUACUUUCCAUUAAAGCCAAGAUUACAAAGACUGUUCAUGUGCUCUAAGAUGGCAGAACAUAUGAGGUGGCAUACGGAAGGUGGUAACAAAGAUGGAAUUUUAAGGCAUCCUAGAGAUGGUGAAGCAUGGAAGAGAUUUGAUACAACUUAUCCUGAAUUUGCUUUUGAAUCUCGAAAUGUUCGAUUAGGGUUAGCUAGUGAUGGUUUUAAUCCCUUUGGAGCGAUGAGUACUAAUAAUAGCAUUUGGCCUGUAAUUUUGGUUCCAUAUAACCUACCGCCUUGGUUGUGCAUGAAACAACCAAAUUCUAUUCUAUCAAUGAUCAUUCCAGGUCCACGAAUGGUGGGAAAUAACAUAGAUGUAUACUUACAACACUUAUUCAGGAGUUGAAUGAGUUGUGGAGUGAAGGUGUACAGACUUUUGAUUCAUCAAAGAAUGAAAUGUUUAGAAUGCGGGCAGCUCUUUUGUGGACAAUUAGUGAUUUUCUGAGACUCGGUAUCUUAUCUGGUUGGAACACAUAUACCGGUUUUGCAUGUCCAUCUUGUAAUUUUGACAUGAAACCUUGUCGACUUACUCAUAGUAGAAAGUGGUGCUUUGUUGGUCAUCGUCGAUUUUUGGCAAGAAAUCAUAAAUUCAGAUUAAUGAGGAAUCAUUUUGAUGGAACUGUAGAAGAAAGAACCCCCCCCCCCCCCCCCCAAAAAAAAAAGUUAUCUGGAUCUGAUAUUUUGCAACAAGUGACAAAUAUUAAUGUUACAUUUGGAAGACAAGAAAAGUUGAAUGAUAAAAUAAAAAGAAAAAGAAAAAAAAAUAGACAAAGCAGUGUGGGUGAAGGUUCAACUAAACAGUGGAAGAAAAAAAGCAUAUUCUUCAAUCUUCCUUAUUGGGAAUCCAACUUGUUGCGCCGUAAUUUAGAUGUUAUGCAUAUUGAAAAAAAUGUUUUUGACAAUAUUAUUCAAACUCUGUUAAAUGAUAGAGAAAAGUCAAAGGAUCACAUUUAAGCUCGAAAAGAUCUACAAGAUAUGGGUAUAAGGGAAGACCUUUGGGCAGAUGAGAAUGGUGAUUUUCGGCUUGGUGCAUUUACAAUUCCAAAGGAUAAGAAAGUGACCUUCCUUACAACUUUAAAGAAUAUCUUAAUGCCCGAUGGUUAUUCGAGUAAUAUAUCUCGUUGUAUACAUCUAGAAUCAAAGAGGAUCUUUGGAUUAAAAAGUCAUGAUUGUCACAUCAUUAUGGAACAAUUACUGCCGAUAGCAAUUCGUAAUGUGCUUCCAAAUCAAGUUGUAGCAAUUUUGGUAGAGUUCUGUUCUUUUUUUAGACACAUUUGUCUGAAAAACUUGAGCCUCAUGGACCUUGAAAAACUAUAAAAACGAAUUGUUAUCACUCUUUGCCACCUAGAGAUGUUGUUCCUUCCAUCCUUUUUUACUGUAAUGGUUCAUUUAACUGUCCAUUUAGUGGACGAAGUAAUACAAGGUGGUCCAGUACAUUAUCGAUGGAUGUAUUUUGUUGAAAGAGUGUUAGGUCAUUUCAAGUCACUUAUAGGGAGCAAAUCACAGGCAGAAGGAUGUAUAGCUGGUCAAAAAAUUGAAGAAGCUCUAACUCUUUAUUCUCAUUAUUUUGAGGAUAUCG